Molecule: ribosomal RNA, 500 nt
Filed under: uncultured bacterium
Lineage: Bacteria
Description: partial 16S ribosomal RNA
Rfam family: Bacterial small subunit ribosomal RNA
Source: RNAcentral
AUUGAACGCUGGCGGAAUGCUUUACACAUGCAAGUCGAACGGCAGCACGGACUUCGGUCUGGUGGCGAGUGGCGAACGGGUGAGUAACAUAUCGGAACGUAUCCAAUAAUGGGGGAUAACGAGUCGAAAGAUUCGCUAAUACCGCAUACGCCCUACGGGGGAAAGCUGGGGACCUUCGGGCCUGGCGUUAAUGGAGCGGCCGAUAUCUGAUUAGCUAGUUGGUGAGGUAAAGGCUCACCAAGGCGACGAUCAGUAGCUGGUCUGGGAGGACGACCAGCCACACUGGAACUGAGGCACGGUCCAGACUCCUACGGGAGGCAGCAGUGGGGAAUUUUGGACAAUGGGCGCAAGCCUGAUCCAGCCAUUCCGCGUGAGUGAAGAAGGCCUUCGGGUUGUAAAGCUCUUUCGCAAGGGAAGAAAACUUAGCCACUAACAUUGGUUGAGGUUGACGGUACCUUGAUAAGAAGCACCGGCUAACUACGUGCCAGCCGCCGCCGUAA